RNAcentral lists this ribosomal RNA (735 nucleotides) under uncultured bacterium. Its description in RNAcentral is "bacterial SSU rRNA". It matches the Rfam family "Bacterial small subunit ribosomal RNA", at positions 58 to 787 of the family's 1533-position model. The record is from RNAcentral.
CAAGUCGAGCGGUAGAGAGAAGCUUGCUUCUCUUGAGAGCGGCGGACGGGUGAGUAAAGCCUAGGAAUCUGCCUGGUAGUGGGGGAUAACGUUCGGAAACGGACGCUAACACCGCAUACGUCCUACGGGAGAAAGCAGGGGACCUUCGGGCCUUGCGCUAUCAGAUGAGCCUAGGUCGGAUUAGCUAGUUGGUGAGGUAAUGGCUCACCAAGGCGACGAUCCGUAACUGGUCUGAGAGGAUGAUCAGUCACACUGGAACUGAGACACGGUCCAGACUCCUACGGGAGGCAGCAGUGGGGAAUAUUGGACAAUGGGCGAAAGCCUGAUCCAGCCAUGCCGCGUGUGUGAAGAAGGUCUUCGGAUUGUAAAGCACUUUAAGUUGGGAGGAAGGGCAUUAACCUAAUACGUUAGUGUUUUGACGUUACCGACAGAAUAAGCACCGGCUAACUCUGUGCCAGCAGCCGCGGUAAUACAGAGGGUGCAAGCGUUAAUCGGAAUUACUGGGCGUAAAGCGCGCGUAGGUGGUUUGUUAAGUUGGAUGUGAAAUCCCCGGGCUCAACCUGGGAACUGCAUUCAAAACUGACUGACUAGAGUAUGGUAGAGGGUGGUGGAAUUUUCCUGUGUAGCGGUGAAAUGCGUAGAUAUAGGAAGGAACACCAGUGGCGAAUGCGACCACCUGGACUAAUACUGACACUGAGGUGCGAAAGGCGUGGGAGCAAACAGGAUUAGAUACCC